This 584-nucleotide ribosomal RNA is filed under the name uncultured bacterium. Its description in RNAcentral is "partial 16S ribosomal RNA". It matches the Rfam family "Bacterial small subunit ribosomal RNA", at positions 355 to 937 of the family's 1533-position model. The record is from RNAcentral.
UGGGGAAUUUUGGACAAUGGGCGAAAGCCUGAUCCAGCAAUGCCGCGUGUGUGAAGAAGGCCUUCGGGUUGUAAAGCACUUUUGUCCGGAAAGAAAUCCUCUGGGUUAAUACCUCGGGGGGAUGACGGUACCGGAAGAAUAAGCACCGGCUAACUACGUGCCAGCAGCCGCGGUAAUACGUAGGGUGCAAGCGUUAAUCGGAAUUACUGGGCGUAAAGCGUGCGCAGGCGGUUUUGUAAGACGGAUGUGAAAUCCCCGGGCUUAACCUGGGAACUGCAUUCGUGACUGCAAGGCUAGAGUAUGGCAGAGGGGGGUAGAAUUCCACGUGUAGCAGUGAAAUGCGUAGAGAUGUGGAGGAAUACCGAUGGCGAAGGCAGCCCUCUGGGCCAAUACUGACGCUCAUGCACGAAAGCGUGGGGAGCAAACAGGAUUAGAUACCCUGGUAGUCCACGCCCUAAACGAUGUCAACUAGUUGUUGGGGAUUCAUUUCCUUAGUAACGUAGCUAACGCGUGAAGUUGACCGCCUGGGGAGUACGGUCGCAAGAUUAAAACUUAAAUGAAUUGACGGGGUCAUAGCUGUUUCC